RNAcentral lists this ribosomal RNA (513 nucleotides) under uncultured bacterium. RNAcentral's name for it is "bacterial SSU rRNA". It matches the Rfam family "Bacterial small subunit ribosomal RNA", at positions 30 to 529 of the family's 1533-position model. The record is from RNAcentral.
AUUGAACGCUGGCGGCAUGCUUUACACAUGCAAGUCGAACGGUAACGGGGACUUCGGUCUGCCGACGAGUGGCGAACGGGUGAGUAAUAUAUCGGAACGUGCCCAGUAAUGGGGGAUAGCUCGGCGAAAGCCGGAUUAAUACCGCAUACGCCCUGAGGGGGAAAGGUGGGGGAGUCUUCGGACCUCACGUUAUUGGAGCGGCCGAUAUCAGAUUAGCUAGUUGGUGGGGUAAAGGCCUACCAAGGCGACGAUCUGUAGCUGGUCUGAGAGGAUGAUCAGCCACACUGGGACUGAGACACGGCCCAGACUCCUACGGGAGGCAGCAGUGGGGAAUUUUGGACAAUGGGCGAAAGCCUGAUCCAGCCAUUCCGCGUGCAGGAUGAAGGGCCCUCGGGGUUGUAAACUGCUUUUGUACGGAACGAAACGGCCUUUUCUAAUACAGAGGGCUAAUGACGGUACCGUAAGAAUAAAGCACCGGCUAACUACGUGCCAGCAGCCGCGGUAAUGUCGAUA